Oncorhynchus kisutch (coho salmon) is the source of this 1266-nucleotide long non-coding RNA. RefSeq lists it as uncharacterized. The transcript has 2 exons. The record is from RefSeq and is a predicted model, not a curated record. NCBI's taxonomy places the organism in Eukaryota, Metazoa, Chordata, Actinopteri, Salmoniformes, Salmonidae.
GCUUAUGCCAAAUCCUGACAUGACGCAACAGGAAUCAAGAUUCGUCGGACCAGGCAAUGUUUGUUUUUUUUACUCCUCAAUUGUCCAGUGUUGGUGAUUGCGUGCCCACUGGAGCCCCUUCUUGUUUUUAGCUGAUAGGAGUGGAACCUGGUGUGGUCGUCUGCUGCAAUAGCCCAUCCGUGACAAGGACGGAUGAGUUGUGAUUUCCGAGAUGUCGUUGUGCGCCAUUAGUUGCCUGUUUGUGGUCCGCCUGUAAGCUUGCACUAUUCUUGCCAUUUUCAAUCAACCUCUCAUCAACAAGCUGUUUUCGCCCACAGGACUGCUGCUGAUUGGAUGUUUUUUUGUUUGUCUCACGUCUCAGUAAACCCUAGACACGGUUGUGCGUGAAAAGCCCAGGAGGCAGACCGUUUCUAAGAUACUGGAACCUGCAUGCCUGGCACCGACGAUCAAACCAUGCUCAAAGUCGCUUAGGUCAAUCGUUUCACCCAUUCUAACCUUCAAUCGAACAAUAACUGAAUGCCUCGAUGACUGUCCGUCUGCUUUAUAUUGCAAGCCACAUGACUCACUAUCUAAAGGCACGACCCAAUUUUGUGAACGGGUUGGCGUACCUAAGAAACUUGCCACUGAGUGUAUAUUUGUUUCAGUCUGCUUCCUGAAGAGGCCUUGGCGGUUGCCCAGGAGCUGUGCGUGCUGCCCACACUCCACCACACGCCGCUGGUCCAGCACAGCCACGGCGUCAGCGUUCUGGAUGGUGGAGAGGCGGUGGGCGAUGAUCAGCACUGUGCGCCCAUCCAUGAGCCGCUCUAGAGCCUCCUGGACCAGGAACUCAUUCUCUGCAUCCAGGGCACUGAGGAAGAGGGGGAUGGAAAAGAGAGGGCAAAAGUGAGAGGUCCAUGAGUUAUAGCUCACAUGUCAUUGGGUUGUUUGACCCUGCUUCACCCAGCUGAUUGACCUUGCUUAACUGUCCAAAACGGAGGAAGAGCGACUCAUGUAAAAUGUGAUUAGACCAUGCACAAUGUCUUACCUUGUAGCCUCAUCAAGUAGAAGUAUCUUGGGAUUCUGAGAGAAGGGAGAGAAUGCAUACAUUACAACAUUUGCCCAUUUGACUAAAACAUACCAUUUUUGAUGCAUGUAAUCGGGUGUAAUUAAAAAUACCUUAAGCAGAGCCCUUGCAAUAGCAAUUCUCUGUUUCUGACCACCUGUUGGUUAAAGCAAAACUAGUCAUUACAUUAAAGCUGUUAAAGAAGCGAUGGUUGUAGUUAUGAA